Molecule: ribosomal RNA, 799 nt
Filed under: uncultured bacterium
Lineage: Bacteria
Description: bacterial SSU rRNA
Rfam family: Bacterial small subunit ribosomal RNA
Source: RNAcentral
AGAGUUUGAUCAUGGCUCAGGAUGAACGCUAGCGGCAGGCUUAAUACAUGCAAGUCGUGGGGCAGCAGUCCCGCAGCAAUGCGGGAGCUGGCGACCGGCAAACGGGUGCGGAACACGUACACAACCUUCCUUUUAGUGAGGAAUAGCCCGGGGAAACCCGGAUUAAUACCCCGUAACAUAAUGAAGUGGCAUCACUUUAUUAUUAUAGCAGCAAUGCGCUUUAAGAUGGGUGUGCGACUGAUUAGGCAGUUGGCGGGGUAACGGCCCACCAAACCUACGAUCAGUAACUGGUGUGAGAGCACGACCAGUCACACGGGCACUGAGACACGGGCCCGACUCCUACGGGAGGCAGCAGUAAGGAAUAUUGGUCAAUGGACGCAAGUCUGAACCAGCCAUGCCGCGUGGAGGAUGAAGGUCCUCUGGAUUGUAAACUUCUUUUAUCUGGGAAGAAACCCACGAAUUCUUUUGUGGUUGACGGUACCAGAUGAAUAAGCACCGGCUAACUCCGUGCCAGCAGCCGCGGUAAUACGGAGGGUGCAAGCGUUAUCCGGAUUCACUGGGUUUAAAGGGUGCGUAGGUGGGCAGGUAAGUCAGUGGUGAAAUCUCCGGGCUUAACUCGGAAACUGCCAUUGAUACUAUCUGUCUUGAAUACCGUGGAGGUCAGCGGAAUAUGUCAUGUAGCGGUGAAAUGCUUAGAUAUGACAUAGAACACCAACUGCGAAGGCAGCUGGCUACACGAAUAUUGACACUGAUGCACGAAAGCGUGGGGAUCAAACAGGAUUAGAUACCCUUGUAGUCC